This 432-nucleotide ribosomal RNA is filed under the name uncultured bacterium. Its description in RNAcentral is "partial 16S ribosomal RNA". It matches the Rfam family "Bacterial small subunit ribosomal RNA", at positions 29 to 507 of the family's 1533-position model. The record is from RNAcentral.
ACGCACGCUGGCGGCAUGCCUAACACCUGCCAGUCGAACGCGACCUUCGGGUCUAGUGGCGCACGGGUGCGUAACGCGUGGGAACCUGCCCUUAGGUUCGGAAUAAAUCCCCGAAAGGGGUGCUAAUACCGGAUAAUGUCUUCGGACCAAAGAUUUAUCGCCUUUGGAUGGGCCCGCGUUGGAUUAGCUAGUUGGUAGGGUAAAAGCCUACCAAGGCGACGAUCCAUAGCUGGUCUGAGAGGAUGAUCAGCCACACUGGGACUGAGACACGGCCCAGACUCCUACGGGAGGCAGCAGUGGGGAAUAUUGGACAAUGGGCGAAAGCCUGAUCCAGCAAUGCCGCGUGAGUGAUGAAGGCCUUAGGGUUGUAAAGCUCUUUUACCCGGGAUGAUAAUGACAGUACCGGGAGAAUAAGCUCCGGCUAACUCCGUG